This 129-nucleotide microRNA precursor is filed under the name Choloepus hoffmanni (Hoffmann's two-fingered sloth). RNAcentral describes it as "miRNA (ENSCHOG00000015261.1)". Lineage: Eukaryota; Metazoa; Chordata; Mammalia; Pilosa; Megalonychidae. The record is from RNAcentral.
CCCAGUUAAAUUUUAAUUUCAGAUAGACAUAGAAUAAUUUUUUAUUAUAAGUAUGUUCCAUACAAUAUUUGGGCCAUACUUAUACUAAAAAAUUAUCCUUCAUUUGAAAUUCAAAUUUAACUAAACAUC